Molecule: ribosomal RNA, 492 nt
Filed under: uncultured bacterium
Lineage: Bacteria
Description: partial 16S ribosomal RNA
Rfam family: Bacterial small subunit ribosomal RNA
Source: RNAcentral
AGUGAACGCUGGCGGUAGGCCUAACACAUGCAAGUCGAACGGCAGCACAGUAAGAGCUUGCUCUUACGGGUGGCGAGUGGCGGACGGGUGAGGAAUACAUCGGAAUCUACUUUUUCGUGGGGGAUAACGUAGGGAAACUUACGCUAAUACCGCAUACGACCUACGGGUGAAAGCAGGGGAUCUUCGGACCUUGCGCGAUUGAAUGAGCCGAUGUCGGAUUAGCUAGUUGGCGGGGUAAAGGCCCACCAAGGCGACGAUCCGUAGCUGGUCUGAGAGGAUGAGCAGCCACACUGGAACUGAGAAACGGUCCAGACUCCUACGGGAGGCAGCAGUGGGGAAUAUUGGACAAUGGGCGCAAGCCUGAUCCAGCCAUACCGCGUGGGUGAAGAAGGCCUUCGGGUUGUAAAGCCCUUUUGUUGGGAAAGAAAAGCAGCAGGUUAAUACCCCGCUGUUCUGACGGUACCCAAAGAAUAAGCACCGGCUAACUUCGUG